Molecule: ribosomal RNA, 433 nt
Filed under: uncultured bacterium
Lineage: Bacteria
Description: partial 16S ribosomal RNA
Rfam family: Bacterial small subunit ribosomal RNA
Source: RNAcentral
AGUGAACGCUGGCGGCAGGCCUAACACAUGCAAGUCGAACGAACUCUUCGGAGUUAGUGGCGGAUGGGUGAGCAACACGUGGGAACGUGCCUUUUGGUUCGGCAUAACUCAGGGAAGCUUGUGCUAAUACCGAAUGUGCCCUUCGGGGGAAAGAUUUAUCGCCAUUAGAGCGGCCCGCGUCUGAUUAGCUUGUUGGUGAGGUAACGGCUCACCAAGGCUACGAUCAGUAGCUGGGCUGAGAGGAUGACCACCGACACUGGAGCUAAGACACGGCCCGGAAUCCUACGGGAGGCAGCAGUGGGGGAUCUAGCGCAACGGGCGAAGGCAUGACGCAGCCAUGCCGCGUGAAUGAUGAAGGUCUUAGGAUUGUAAAAUUCUUUAACCGGGGACGAUAAUGACGGUACCCGGAGAAGAAGCCCCGGCUAACUUCGUG